UGAUGAACACAUACCAGAAAUAUCCUGCUGUAUCUAGUGAUCAAUAUUUAUUUAUUAGUAAUGGCGAAGAUGAUAAAUUUUUUGAAUCCCACAAAAUAUUCUCUGUUUCUUUGCCACUUAAUGCCGUGUAAUGUUUGUCUCUGAAUCUCUCUCUCCAUUAAGAAUAGUUUGUGGUUUGUCUUUGAUGCUACAGGCAGGUGAGCAAAUGAAACUUGAAUAUCAGAAAAAGGUAGCUUCGUUGAAUAAGUUGAAGAAACAUGGCUCAAACACAGGCGCCUUAGAAAGGAUGAAAGCAGCAGUUAGUCAUCUGCAUACCAGAUACAUUGUUGACAUGCAAUCCAUGGACUCCACCGUUUCAGAAAUUAAUAGUUUGUGCAAUGAUCACCUGUAUCCGAAACUUGUUACCCUUGUUGAUGCGUAAGUUCCUACGCUGCUAUGAGAAAUACUGCCUAUUGUCUAGCCGUUGUUGAUGAUCUGUAGCUUGCUUCCAUUAGCAUUUGUUAUAAGCAAAAUAAUUAGUGUGGCAUAUACCAUGAUCGCUUCAUGAAACACGUAACCUUAAUAUGAUACCAUAAGUUUCUCUUGCUUAUCUUCAUGUACAUGAACUUCCAGGUUUCAUUUUUCUUACUACUUCAAAAAUCAGUUAGCCUAUGUAUCUUCCAUUUAUUUUUAUCCCUAUUGCAAAUGAAUAUCAAAUUUGAUUUUUCCCUUUUGUUACUGCAAAGUUCUUUACACAAGAUUGCAUUGUUCUUGUUGAGGAUGUAAUUAAAAUAAAUAUAUUUGUCCUUUCAAUAACAACUAAAGCUGUUAAAUUGAUGUGACUUGACUUGGUAACAGAGCACUUAAAGUUCCUUAACUCAAGUCCAGAUAUCAUCUAUCAUGAAAAUUUUGCUCAUGUUGGCCUUUGAUGUAUGUGAGGUGCCCCUUGAAGAUAUAGUUUAAAUAAAUAUGUUUGUCCUCUCUCUAUCAUCUUAAUCUUUUAGAUGAGAUGGUAAAUUGGUCCAAGCCAGGUAUUUGGUCAAAGCCAUGAGGAUCCCCUCUAAAUGAUAGACUGAUGGAUAUUCAUGGUUAUGCAUUGUAAUCAGCAUUUAAAUUACCUAAAUUUUAUAACUUUUAUUUUUUAAAUUUCGUUCUCGUGCCAAUUUUGAAGAAAAUUGUUUUUAGAAAAUUACAAUUUCUGUAAAGGUUUUCACAUAUACGGCCCUAUAAAGUUAGCUUCCUUUUUUUUUUUUUUUUUUUUCUUUUUUUUAAUCCUUAUUAACCUUAAAAACUAUAUUAAGUCCUUUCUUAUUGAUCACAGGAUGGCUAUAAUGUGGAAAACGAUGAGAAUGUACCAUGAAAAACAAUCUAAAAUUGUGCUAGCUUUGAAGCAUGUGGACAUUCCUCAAUCUCCUAAACAAACAAGUGACCACCACCACGAGCGCACUCAACUUUUAUGUUAUGUUGUUCAGGAUUGUCAUUCACGUUUAAGUGAACUCGUGUCUCAGCAGAAAGAAUAUAUUAAAUCUCUCGACGACUGGUUGAAGUUAAAUCUCAUUCCUAUAGAUACAAACUUGAAAGAGAAAGUUUCAUCUCCCCGUGGGACCCAAAAUCCCCCAUUACAGACACUUUUGCAAGACUGGCAGGAUUACCUCCAGAAUAUUCCUGAUGAGCCGAAAUCAACUAUUAAAAAUUUUGCUGUUCAGAUUCAGACUAUAUGGCAGGAUCAGAAAGAGGAGUUGGACUUAAGAAACAAAUGUGCAGAGUCGGAGAAGGAGCUUAUGAGAAGGUCCCGCGAGUUCAAGAAUUGGCAUAAUAAAUAUAUACAGAGGAGAACCCCACCUGAUGUAAUGGAUGCAGAUAGAGCACACGAUAAGGAUUUUAUUGCAGAAAGGGAGCAUAUUGUUGAAGCAGCAAAAUUGAAAUUGAGAGGUGAUGAGGAAGCAUACCAAAGGCUGUGCAUGCAGGUCAGAGAGAGAUCUAUGGCGAGCCUCAAAAGCAAUUUACCAGGACUUUUUGAGGCACUGUCAGAUUUUUCUCUUGCUUGUUCAGAUAUGUAUAACAACUUGAGGUCCAUCGAGCAUUCACGAAAUAGAAGUCAGGGUUGAUGAAGAAACGCUGAUUAUAUCAUUCCAUGCUAUUGGGUAAAUAUUUGUUUCACACUUUCAAAAUAAAUUCUACUUUGUUGUAUCUUUAUGUGAAAUAUGGAGUGUUUAAUGUAACUUGUGAAUUAAUUCAUUGGUAUGUAAGGUGUGUUUUAUAUGACAUAUGACUGUCAAGGGGGUCUUAAAUGGUAUUUCUUUGUUAUACACUUGUACGUACUUGUGUUUUAUACUUGUGAAUUAAUACAUUAAUACUUGUUUUGUG
This 2346-nucleotide long non-coding RNA is filed under the name Olea europaea subsp. europaea. The record is from RNAcentral. Lineage: Eukaryota; Viridiplantae; Streptophyta; Magnoliopsida; Lamiales; Oleaceae.